Molecule: ribosomal RNA, 659 nt
Filed under: embryophyte environmental sample
Lineage: Eukaryota; Viridiplantae; Streptophyta
Description: eukaryotic LSU rRNA
Rfam family: 5.8S ribosomal RNA (bases 251-406)
Source: RNAcentral
AAGGAGAAGUCGUAACAAGGUUUCCGUAGGUGAACCUGCGGACAGACCGCGCACGCGUCAUCCAAUCCGUCGGCGACGGCACCGUCCGUCGCUCGGCCAAUGCCUCGACCACCUCCCCUCCUCGGAGCGGGUGGGGGCUCGGGGUAAAAGAACCCACGGCGCCGAAGGCGUCAAGGAACACUGUGCCUAACCCGGGGGCAUGUCUAGCUUGCUAGCCGUCCCUCGUGUUGCAAAGCUAUUUAAUCCACACGACUCUCGGCAACGGAUAUCUCGGCUCUCGCAUCGAUGAAGAACGUAGCGAAAUGCGAUACCUGGUGUGAAUUGCAGAAUCCCGCGAACCAUCGAGUCUUUGAACGCAAGUUGCGCCCGAGGCCACUCGGCCGAGGGCACGCCUGCCUGGGCGUCACGCCAAAACACGCUCCCAACCACCCUCAACGGGAUUCGGGAUGCGGCAUCUGGUCCCUCGUCUCUCAAGGGACGGUGGACCGAAGAUUGGGCUGCCGGCGUACCGCGCCGGACACAGCGCAUGGUGGGCGUCCUCGCUUUAUCAAUGCAGUGCAUCCGGCGCGCAGCUGGCAUUAUGGCCUUUGAACGACCCAACAAACGAAGCGCACGUCGCUUCGACCGCGACCCCAGGUCAGGCGGGACUACCCGCUGAG